This is a non-coding RNA of Pantherophis guttatus, 409 nucleotides long. NCBI's taxonomy places the organism in Eukaryota, Metazoa, Chordata, Lepidosauria, Squamata, Colubridae. The record is from RefSeq and is a predicted model, not a curated record.
UCUCAGAGUUGAAAUCCACACAUUUCAAAAUGGCCAAGUUUAAGAACACCAUUUUAAAGAAAUACACUGAAAAGAAUGGGAUUUUUUUUUCUGUUAGGCAAUUAUUUACAUUAACACAGUUUAUUCAAGGGUCUGAAGACAGCAGCAUCUACAACUCCUUAUUCUUUUGAUCCAAAUUUAGCCACAAGCUCUAUCUCUUCUGAGCAACUGGUAGAAAAGAGUAAAUAAUGAUGCUUAGGAGAAAAACAGGAAGAAUCAAAAGCGGAGGAACUGCAAGGUCACGACUUAAUUUGAAGAGAAAGCGAAAGAACAGUGGGAUGAUUAAAUGACUCAAAGUUAUAUAAAAGCUUUGUGUUAAAAAAGUUGUUUGGUACCAUAUUUAUUAAACCUUGGCAUUUUUAUAAUAACA